This 32-nucleotide non-coding RNA is filed under the name Mus musculus (house mouse). The record is from RNAcentral. Lineage: Eukaryota; Metazoa; Chordata; Mammalia; Rodentia; Muridae.
UGCUCCGGUAUCAAGGAUGCCUUCAAACUCUU